Molecule: long non-coding RNA, 309 nt
Organism: Physella acuta
Lineage: Eukaryota; Metazoa; Mollusca; Gastropoda; Physidae
Source: RefSeq, a predicted model, not a curated record
CACGAUUGUUCCGUAGAACCAACAGUAACAUUUGGUCGUUUUAUUUCCUUACCGAAAAACUCAAGAAACUCUUAAGUAGUCACCAUGAAGCUGUUCUGUAUUUUCUUCCUUCUGUUUGUGUUGUCUGCUGCAGUUUCAGCUUAUCCUGGCGGCAGUGCUAUAGAUGACAACAAGCGGGGCUUAGAUGAAUUAUCAAGUGUUCAGUCAGCUAAGAAGGAUGCUUUGGUCAGUCGUAACGCUAUAGUUCCCGGGACGACACUACACUUGCAAGAAAAUUCAGAAGAUGAAAUAAACCGCUUAAAAGAUGUA